UGGGGAAUAUUGGACAAUGGGGGCAACCCUGAUCCAGCAAUGCCGCGUGUGUGAAGAAGGUCUUCGGAUUGUAAAGCACUUUCGACGGGGACGAUGAUGACGGUACCCGUAGAAGAAGCCCCGGCUAACUUCGUGCCAGCAGCCGCGGUAAUACGAAGGGGGCUAGCGUUGCUCGGAAUGACUGGGCGUAAAGGGCGUGUAGGCGGUUUACACAGUCAGAUGUGAAAUCCCCGGGCUUAACCUGGGAGCUGCAUUUGAUACGUGUAGACUAGAGUGUGAGAGAGGGUUGUGGAAUCCCCAGUGUAGAGGUGAAAUUCGUAGAU
This 323-nucleotide ribosomal RNA is filed under the name uncultured bacterium. RNAcentral's name for it is "partial 16S ribosomal RNA". It matches the Rfam family "Bacterial small subunit ribosomal RNA", at positions 355 to 695 of the family's 1533-position model. The record is from RNAcentral.